This 323-nucleotide unclassified non-coding RNA is filed under the name fungal sp. Its description in RNAcentral is "partial internal transcribed spacer region". The stretch from base 1 to 46 matches the Rfam family "Eukaryotic small subunit ribosomal RNA", at positions 1786 to 1831 of the family's 1831-position model. Lineage: Eukaryota; Fungi. The record is from RNAcentral.
AAGUCGUAACAAGGUUUCCGUAGGUGAACCUGCGGAAGGAUCAUUAUUGAAUAAACCUGAUGGGUUGUCGCUGGUCUCUUUGGAGGCAUGUGCACGCCUGUCGUCUUUAUAUCUCCACCUGUGAACUUUUUGUAGAUCUGAAUAAUGUUGUCCAAGGCAACUUGGGUUUAGGAGACUGCUGUUGCCACAACCGGCCGGCUUUCUUCACACUUUCAGAUCUAUGUUUUUCAUAUACACCAUUGUAUGUCUACAGAACGAAUCAAUGGGCAUUCAUUUGCCUAUAAAACAUUAUACAACUUUCAGCAACGGAUCUCUUGGCUCUC